This 253-nucleotide ribosomal RNA is filed under the name uncultured bacterium. RNAcentral's name for it is "partial 16S ribosomal RNA". It matches the Rfam family "Bacterial small subunit ribosomal RNA", at positions 524 to 776 of the family's 1533-position model. The record is from RNAcentral.
UACGUAGGGUGCGAGCGUUAAUCGGAAUUACUGGGCGUAAAGGGUGCGCAGGCGGAUAUGUAAGUUAGAUGUGAAAUCCCCGAGCUUAACUUGGGAACGGCAUUUAAGACUGCAUGUCUAGAGUUUGUCAGAGGGGGGUAGAAUUCCAAGUGUAGCAGUGAAAUGCGUAGAGAUUUGGAGGAAUACCAGUGGCGAAGGCGACCCCCUGGGAUAAAACUGACGCUCAGGCACGAAAGCGUGGGUAGCAAACAGG